GACGGGGUGGCGGAAUCUGGGAACGCAGGAGACUGCAGAUCUCCAUUAUGUAGGUUCAAAUCCUACCCCCGUCU
RNAcentral lists this transfer RNA (74 nucleotides) under Parcubacteria bacterium DG_74_2. Its description in RNAcentral is "tRNA-Cys". It matches the Rfam family "tRNA". From Rfam's summary of the family: Transfer RNA (tRNA) molecules are approximately 80 nucleotides in length. Their secondary structure includes four short double-helical elements and three loops (D, anti-codon, and T loops). RNAcentral also lists the same sequence under 1 other name. Lineage: Bacteria; Candidatus Parcubacteria. The record is from RNAcentral.